Cucumis melo (muskmelon) is the source of this 1372-nucleotide long non-coding RNA. RefSeq lists it as uncharacterized. NCBI's taxonomy places the organism in Eukaryota, Viridiplantae, Streptophyta, Magnoliopsida, Cucurbitales, Cucurbitaceae. The transcript has 4 exons. The record is from RefSeq and is a predicted model, not a curated record.
AAAGAGAAAGAGAAAAGAAGAAGAAACCUUAAAUCUUCCUCUUCCUCCAGCCGCCGCCACCGACGACAAACGCUGUGGUGUGAGUAGCCAUCGAGUUGGUCCGUACGCCUUCCUCAUUCACAGAUCCGAGUCGAAGCCACGACGUCUCGUUGCUCGCCGUCGCAAGGCAAAUCAGCAAUCUUCAUCUUCAACCGCGCCGACUCGCAAUCCGCCGCCGCCUUUCGCCGUUCGUCUCCGUCGUCCCGACCCGCGCCUCUCUCCGCAAAACCAAAUCCGACCCGCGCCUCCAGCUGUUCUGCAUCUCCAGUCGUCCGUGCGCUCGCGUGAAGCCAAGCCGCCAGCUGCAAGCCGCACGCGCGUCCUUGCAGGCCGCACACGAGGAAGCCGAGUCGUCCCCAACCGAGCACGCGUGCGAGCCGUGCGCGUUCCCUCAAGCCGUGCGCGUCUGUCCGAGUCAAAUUCUCUAUUUCUAGCCGACCCGCCAACCAUUUUUUAGCCGCCAACCCUAUUUUUUGUUCUUUCCCACCUAUUUUUGGAGCGUGGGAUUUAUUCAGUUAAGGGCUCAAGCGUUGCAACCUCGACUUAGAACUCGUUGCUUGGAAAGCGUGACUUUGCGGUUAGAACUCGUUGAGCUAAUCCCCAGGUAAGAGAUUCACUACUAGACCUAGGAGUAGAGUUAAGAGGUUGCAUUUAUUCUUGAGUUGUGCAUAUUGAUAACUAAAUUGUACAACGGUAUGGUAAUUAAUGAGGAUAUGAUAUGACAUAAUGAUCUGAUGAUGUGAUACGAUAUGACAUGACAUGACGAUAUGAUUUGACAUGAUGAUAUGAUGUAACAUGAUAACGUGAUGAUGCUAUGUUACGUGUAUGCUAUGGUUAGGGUGCAUGUUAGCUUAUCCUAUUAAAGUCGUACCUGCAUGGGUGUCCUUCGGGAUCACUACCUAUUUAGGACUGCGUAGUUCGACGGGACCGCCAGUCUGGCAUUGAUAUAGACAUGAUUCGAGUGGUUCGAGGGGAUUGCUCACAGCCCGAUUGUCUUAGUGUUUUCUUCAGGUACACUACAGACCAGUUUGUCCUAGGUGUUCCUUUGGGUUCACCGAAAACCAGUUAUUGUUCCUUCGGGAUCACAUGAUGCACGUGUUCGGGAACGUGCCAGUUCUUGGGCAGGGGCAGAGGUAAGGGCAAGGGCAAGCUGGCGAGCGACCAGAAGUGACCGUGGCGAGCCAUAGAGAUCUCUUGCUUCCGCUUGAUAUAUGAGUUCAGACCUUAAAUGUUUGCAUUUUAGUUUAAUCCUUAUUUGUUAUUUUAUUUCUUUAAAAUUAGAUAGGGCCCGAGUUAGGAUUUUAUUUUUAUACAUAUCUCAAAUUACUUUUGA